GAUAUGUUAGUGGCCACAUUGAAGACUGGGAUCAAAUUAAUUUAGCAAGGGCUGAAGGUCGCCUCUUCAAUAAACUCAAGUGGCCAAAUGAUCUCAAAUUGAAAUACUUGAUCAAGAGAUUGUAUUCACUUCUGACAAUUAAAGAAUCUGCUGCAAUUGUCCCUAAAAAUUUAGAAGCAAGGCGAAGACUUCACUUCUUUACGAACUCACUGUUCAUGGAAAUGCCUGUUGCACGGCCUGUUUCGGAAAUGGUCUCCUUUAGUGUGUUUACUCCAUAUUACUCUGAGAUUGUACUCUACAACAUGGCUGAACUUCAGAAGAAAAACGAAGAUGGUAUCACUACACUGUUUUAUCUCCAGAAGAUUU
Zea mays is the source of this 366-nucleotide long non-coding RNA. RefSeq lists it as uncharacterized. The transcript has 3 exons. The record is from RefSeq and is a predicted model, not a curated record. Lineage: Eukaryota; Viridiplantae; Streptophyta; Magnoliopsida; Poales; Poaceae.